GAAUCAGGAGAGUCCAUCGCGUCACCUGUCGGUCCUGUGACUUAUGUCCCAAGCCUCUCUCUCUAUUAAGUGUGGAAAUCAUCUGUAGCAACUACACCGGUGUAGUGAGCAUUGAGUGGCUGAGAGUCCCUUAGGGCGCGUGUCGAGAUGCUCAUCGUAAUUCAUCGCUUGUUGCAGACGAUGUGGAUUCCUCCACUAGGAAAUAUCUUUUUUCUUUCUUGUGCAAACUAGGCAAGGUCUUCAGAUUUACCCAAAUCAAGUGGAGUGUUUUCAACCGUUAUAUUGCCUACCAGAAAGGAAGAAAAAAAACCGUUAGAUUCCGAUUACCUUCGUGGGCCUCUCUGCUGAGCAUACAAGAAUUGGUAUCUGAUGAAGCGUUUGCUCGCUCUCAUCGCGUAGGGAUUCGAUGUCUGCAGGUUCUUCCCCAGAUCAAAUCAAUGGAAGAUGGACCUAGUGGCAAAACUGUAAACAUUCUGAAACACGGCUCAUGUCCACGGAAGUUCUUGUGAAUUGGAUGAAAUUCUUAUAUGGACCUACAUCUCUGAUGGGGCCGUCGAAAUCAGACUUCUGGCCUUUCGAGUUCAUGCAGUAAAGACUAAGCUUUGGAAUAGAUGUUGAGCCUUCACAGUUGACAUGAGCUGAACCCUGGUUCAGUUUGAGAAAGAUGCCAAUCAAGCAUAUGAUUAGUUCUUCUGAAACUCUGUUUGGCUUCUCUGUAGUCAUUGCUUCAUCCGGAAGAUUCUGUGUUUGGUUUCUUCCAUUGCAUCUUGAAUUUCCUGCAAUUUCAUCUGUUCCUCCGUAUUUCAGGGAUUAGGCUUUCUAAAGGUUCAAUUCCGCAUAUUGUUGAUGAUGAAAUUCAAAAAAAAAAAAAAAAAAAAAAAAUACAUGGCACACCACUUUUUUUAAUGGGUUUGAGGAUAUGGAGGUCAAAAUCAACCUUAUCUUGAGGAUCACAGUCUCGUGAUCCUUUCGCUCUUCACUACUCUGCCAUAUAAGCUCACUUUGAAUUAGAAGAAAUGAUAAUUUUGAUGUUAUAAUCUUCAGCUUGAGAUUUGACAUUCAUGUUUCAGGUGGGUCUGUAUUGAAAUCCUAGUGGUUGUGCCAUGUCUUCUCAUAUUUGGUUUCUGGAUGCUUAUGUACAUGAAUGGCCAAACAAGAACGUUACCAUUCAACCUUGCAGAAGACAUGGCAUGGAUUUCGGAAGCAGAGCCUAGGGAAGCUUUUCUUUCUCUUAUCAUCCUUUGGCCUCCGAAGUCUGGCUUGUAAUGUAGUGGUCCCCGUUGUUCAUGAUGUUCUUCUUCUCUUCCUCUGUGACUUGCUACUCCAGACCAGUAGUGUUUCUGUUGCUUCUGUAGCCACUGUUGCUGCUUUAGUGGCUGCAGCUGAUGUUCUUUGUUCAGUCUCUUUUCUUGAUCCAGACAGAGUCUCAGCUCCUCUACCUUCCUUUCCAGGAAUAUGAUCUCUUCUUCAACCAUUUCCAGUUCUGCAAGAAGCACCUGCACCUGCAUUGGUAUCCCAUUUGUUAUUCUUCCCUCCUAAGGCAAGCAGAUAGGUCAUGGGAUAGUAACAAUUACCUGACGUGGUAGCAGCGACGAAAGUGAUGGACGAGAAACAGCUUGUCCAUGCAAUGCACAUUGAAGAACCCGAUUCAAUUUCUGCUCGUCAUCUAAUUCUGCUUCCAGCAUAGCGACCUGGAGAUUGCAAAAUUGAAAAAUUGAAGAACAAUCGUUUCAUGGAAAGUAUCUACACUUUCAGGAGUAAUAAAUUGAGCAAUGACUAAGAUCUUACCUCCUCUUCUAGAUCGAUUCUUCUCUGCUUAUCUCUGCUCCGGUGCAUUAAGAAAUCUUCAAAUUUCAUAAUGAACCCAGGCAACAGCAGACCACAAGUGGUUCAGAAGUAUGAGAGAAGUAAUGGUGUGUCACUAGAAAAUAUAGAGGUAGUUUAUUGAAGUGUCUCUGGCAUAACCAUGGAAGUGGGUGAAGGAACACUACUGGAGAUGGAAGGAAUCACAGUAUCCAUGAGUCUUGGCGGUGUGUGGGUUUUUUGAACUGUGGAGGGAGGUUGGUUGCCUAGAACUCUAUUGUCAUCACAUGCAGCCAAAGACUACAUUUAUUGAUGAGUGUGCUGAUGACAUGAAACCCAUGAACAAUUUAAACAUUCAACCGCUGGAGGGAGAAAAGGGUUGUUGUGCAGAAGGCCUUAAUAGGUUGUUUUAAAUAAGAAGAGAGAGAAACUUUGGUUCCUUAGGACCCUUAUUUGAUGACAUGUACGUGUCUUCUGGGUUUGGCUUAUCCAACAUCAGAGUGAAAUUCUCUGUUUCCUGCCACCUCUACUGGAAUUUUGAUUCAUAAAUGGAAUUAAUUCCGCUGGCUUGUUACAACAAA
RNA transcript from Macadamia integrifolia, 2384 nucleotides. It is a transcript of the gene named AP3-complex subunit beta-A-like, with no coding region annotated. The record is from RefSeq and is a predicted model, not a curated record. Lineage: Eukaryota; Viridiplantae; Streptophyta; Magnoliopsida; Proteales; Proteaceae. The transcript has 3 exons.